AACGAACGCUGGCGGCAUGCCUAACACAUGCAAGUCGAACGAGACCUUCGGGUCUAGUGGCGCACGGGUGCGUAACGCGUGGGAACCUGCCCUUAGGUUCGGCAUAACUCCCCGAAAGGGGUGCUAAUACCGGAUAAUGUCUUCGGACCAAAGAUUUAUCGCCUUUGGAUGGGCCCGCGUUGGAUUAGCUAGUUGGUAGGGUAAAAGCCUACCAAGGCGACGAUCCAUAGCUGGUCUGAGAGGAUGAUCAGCCACACUGGGACUGAGACACGGCCCAGACUCCUACGGGAGGCAGCAGUGGGGAAUAUUGGACAAUGGGCGAAAGCCUGAUGCAGCAAUGCCGCGUGAGUGAUGAAGGCCUUAGGGUUGUAAAGCUCUUUUACCCGGGAUGAUAAUGACAGUACCGGGAGAAUAAGCUCCGGCUAACUCCGUG
Molecule: ribosomal RNA, 433 nt
Filed under: uncultured bacterium
Lineage: Bacteria
Description: partial 16S ribosomal RNA
Rfam family: Bacterial small subunit ribosomal RNA
Source: RNAcentral